GAUGAAGAACGUAGCGAAAUGCGAUAAGUAGUGUGAAUUGCAGAAUUCAGUGAAUCAUCGAAUCUUUGAACGCACCUUGCGCCCGCCAGUAUUCUGGCGGGCAUGCCUGUUCGAGCGUCAUUUCAACCAUCAAGCCCCGGGCUUGUGUUGGGGAUCUGCGGCUGCCCGCAGGCCCUGAAAACCAGUGGCGGGCUCGCUGUCACUCCGAGCGUAGUAGCACUCGUAUCUCGCUCAGGGCGUGCCGCGGGCUCCGGCCGUUAAACCGCCUCUUUAGCACCCAAAGGUUGACCUCGGAUCAGGUAGGAGGACCCGCUGAACUUAAGCAUAUCAAUAAGCGGAGGA
This 342-nucleotide unclassified non-coding RNA is filed under the name soil metagenome. RNAcentral describes it as "partial contains 5.8S ribosomal RNA, internal transcribed spacer 2, and large subunit ribosomal RNA". The stretch from base 1 to 120 matches the Rfam family "5.8S ribosomal RNA", at positions 35 to 154 of the family's 154-position model. The record is from RNAcentral.